This 57-nucleotide transfer RNA is filed under the name Ovis aries (sheep). The record is from Rfam by way of RNAcentral. Lineage: Eukaryota; Metazoa; Chordata; Mammalia; Artiodactyla; Bovidae.
UGUCUCAGAUGGUUAAGAAUCUGUCUAUAAUGCAGAAGACCCAGGUUCAAUCCCUGG